CAGGAAUGAAUGUCUGCAGUGAUAUCUUCCCGCUACAUUCACCAGUGGGUUCCAGAGGCUGCUCCGUGAAGGGCUCUCGGCACAAGCCAAGGGGAGAAGGAUGCAAAUACAGACUUUUGGAUCUGUUUUUAAGGGAGAAGCAGAACCGAAAACUUGGACAUGAAUGUUCACGGCGGUAUCAUUCACAAUGCGAAAGAGUGGGAAAAAUGUCCAGAGGUCAUCAAUGAAUCAACAAACAGCCCGUUUUGACAACCAGCAAUGUGGAGAGGUGAGCCGACACUGCCAGAGAAAGCCUGACAUGCAAGAGUCUUCCAUGAAACAUGAGCGACAUGGUCUUAUGCACCUCGGUGGCCCAAAGGGCUAGUCAACAUGUAGGCUCAAUAAAAAUGUGUUGGGCAGGUCCCUUCCCCUC
This is a long non-coding RNA of Suricata suricatta (meerkat), 412 nucleotides long. RefSeq lists it as uncharacterized. The transcript has 4 exons. Lineage: Eukaryota; Metazoa; Chordata; Mammalia; Carnivora; Herpestidae. The record is from RefSeq and is a predicted model, not a curated record.